Molecule: transfer RNA, 60 nt
Filed under: Proteus vulgaris
Lineage: Bacteria; Pseudomonadati; Pseudomonadota; Gammaproteobacteria; Enterobacterales; Morganellaceae
Also listed under: 4 other names
Rfam family: tRNA
About the family: Transfer RNA (tRNA) molecules are approximately 80 nucleotides in length. Their secondary structure includes four short double-helical elements and three loops (D, anti-codon, and T loops).
Source: RNAcentral
UCGUUAGCUCAGUCGGUAGAGCAGUUGACUUUUAAUCAAUUGGUCGGGCGUUCGAAUCGC